This 493-nucleotide ribosomal RNA is filed under the name Candida albicans. RNAcentral's name for it is "eukaryotic LSU rRNA". It matches the Rfam family "Eukaryotic large subunit ribosomal RNA", at positions 109 to 614 of the family's 3401-position model. The record is from RNAcentral. Lineage: Eukaryota; Fungi; Ascomycota; Pichiomycetes; Serinales; Debaryomycetaceae.
UCAGUUUGAAAUCUGGCGUCUUUGGCGUCCGAGUAGAAGAAAAAGAAGGUAUCUUUGGGCCCGGCUCUUGUCUAUGUUCCAUGGAACAGGACGUCACAGAGGGUGAGAAUCCCGUGCGAUGAGAUGACCCGGGUCUGUGUAAAGUUCCUUCGACGACUCGAGUUGUUUGGGAAUGCAGCUCUAAGUGGGUGGUAAAUUCCAUCUAAAGCUAAAUAUUGGCGAGAGACCGAUAGCGAACAAGUACAGUGAUGGAAAGAUGAAAAGAACUUUGAAAAGAGAGUGAAAAAGUACGUGAAAUUGUUGAAAGGGAAGGGCUUGAGAUCAGACUUGGUAUUUUGCAUGCUGCUCUCUCGGGGGCGGCCGCUGCGGUUUACCGGGCCAGCAUCGGUUUGGAGCGGCAGGAUAAUGGCGGAGGAAUGUGGCACGGCUUCUGCUGUGUGUUAUAGCCUCUGACGAUACUGCCAGCCUAGACCGAGGACUGCGGUUUUUUCCU